Molecule: ribosomal RNA, 282 nt
Filed under: uncultured bacterium
Lineage: Bacteria
Description: partial 16S ribosomal RNA
Rfam family: Bacterial small subunit ribosomal RNA
Source: RNAcentral
AGUCGAACGAGAAAUUCCUGCUUCGGCGGGAAGAGUAAAGUGGCGCACGGGUGAGUAACACGUGGGUAACCUGCCUUCGAAUUUGGGAUAACUUCGCGAAAGCGUUGCUUAUACCAGAUAUUGUUACAUUAACUCCGGUUUUUGUAAUGAAAGGUGACCUCUUCAUGAAAGUUGCCGUUCAAAGAGGGGCUCGCGUACCAUUAGCUAGUUGGUGGGGUAAUGGCCUACCAAGGCUACGAUGGUUAGCUGGUCUGAGAGGAUGAUCAGCCACACUGGAACUGA